GCAUGGUUGUCGUCAGGCUCGUGCCGGUUGACGGUGUCGGGUUAAGUCCCAUAAACCGAGCGCUAACCCUACCUUUAGUUGCCAGUCCAGGUUAAGCGUGGGGACUCUAAGGAAACUGCCUACGCAAGUAGUGAGGAAGGCGGGGAUGACGUCAAAUCAGCACGGCCCUUACGUCCAGGGCUACACACGUGCUACAAUGGCCGAUACAGAGGGCAGCUACCUGGUGACAGGAUGCAAAUCUCCAAAGUCGGUCUCAGUUCGGAUCGGAGUCUGCAACCCGACUCCGUGAAGUUGGAUUCGCUAGUAAUCGCGCAUCAGCCAUGGCGCGGUGAAUACGUUCCCGGGCCUU
RNAcentral lists this ribosomal RNA (349 nucleotides) under uncultured Sphingobacteriales bacterium. RNAcentral's name for it is "bacterial SSU rRNA". It matches the Rfam family "Bacterial small subunit ribosomal RNA", at positions 1043 to 1382 of the family's 1533-position model. The record is from RNAcentral. Lineage: Bacteria; Pseudomonadati; Bacteroidota; Sphingobacteriia; Sphingobacteriales.